This is an RNA transcript of Rhinopithecus roxellana (golden snub-nosed monkey), 2263 nucleotides long. It is a transcript of the gene named solute carrier family 22 member 8, with no coding region annotated. The record is from RefSeq and is a predicted model, not a curated record. The transcript has 11 exons. Lineage: Eukaryota; Metazoa; Chordata; Mammalia; Primates; Cercopithecidae.
AAACACAGCUUGUUAGAGCUGAGCUGCCCAACUACAGCAGCAGCCGGCCCCUAGGACAGAGCAGGGACCUCAACUACACUGAUCACCAGCCCCGUCGGACCCAGACCCAGCCACCAGCUCUGGCUCAUCUUGCCCCAGUGCCAUGACCUUCUCGGAGAUCCUGGACCGUGUGGGAAGCAUGGGCCGUUUCCAGUUCCUGCAUGUAGCCAUACUGGGCCUCCCGAUCCUCAACAUGGCCAACCACAACCUGCUGCAGAUCUUCACAGCCGCCACCCCUGUCCACCACUGCCGCCCGCCCCCUAAUGCCUCCGCAGGGCCUUGGGUGAUCCCCAUGGGCCCAAAUGGGAAGCCUGAGAGAUGCCUCCGUUUUGUACAUCCAUCCAAUGCCAGCCUGCCCAAUGACACCCAGAGGUCCACGGAGCCAUGCCUGGAUGGCUGGGUCUACAACAGCACCAAGGACUCCAUUGUGACAGAGUGGAACUUGGUGUGCAACUCCAACAAACUGAAGGAGAUGGCCCAGUCUAUCUUCAUGGCAGGCAUACUGAUUGGAGGGCUCGUGCUUGGAGACCUGUCUGACAGGUUUGGCCGCAGGCCCAUCCUGACCUGCAGCUACCUGCUGCUGGCAGCCAGCGGCUCCGGUGCAGCCUUCAGCCCCACCUUCCCCGUCUACAUGGUCUUCCGCUUCCUGUGUGGCUGUGGCAUCUCAGGCAUUACCCUGAGCACCGUCAUCUUGAAUGUGGAAUGGGUGCCUACCCGGAUGCGGGCCAUCAUGUCGACAGCACUCGGGUACUGCUACACCGUUGGCCAGUUCAUUCUGCCCGGCCUGGCCUACGCCAUCCCCCAGUGGCGUUGGCUGCAGUUAACUGUGUCCAUUCCCUUCUUCAUCUUCUUCCUAUCAUCCUGGUGGACACCAGAGUCCAUACGCUGGUUGGUCCUGACUGGAAAGUCCUCGAAGGCCCUGAAGAUACUCCGGCGGGUGGCCGCCUUCAAUGGCAAGAAGGAAGAGGGAGAAAGGCUCACCUUGGAGGAGCUCAAACUCAACCUGCAGAAGGAGAUCUCCUUGGCCAAGGCCAAGUACACCGCAGCUGACCUGUUCCGGAUACCCAUGCUGCGCCGCAUGACCUUCUGUCUUUCCCUGGCCUGGUUUGCUACCGGUUUUGCCUACUAUAGUUUGGCUAUGGGUGUGGAAGAAUUUGGAGUCAACCUCUACAUCCUCCAGAUCAUCUUUGGUGGGGUCGAUAUCCCAGCCAAGUUCAUCACCAUCCUCUCCUUAAGCUAUCUGGGCCGGCAUACCACUCAGGCCGCUGCCCUACUCCUGGCAGGAGGGGCCAUCUUGGCUCUCACCUUUGUGCCCUUGGACUUGCAGACCGUGAGGACAGUAUUGGCUGUGUUUGGGAAGGGAUGCCUAUCCAGCUCCUUCAGCUGCCUCUUCCUCUACACAAGUGAAUUAUAUCCCACAGUCAUCAGGGGAGCCAUCCUUUAUGAACCCCACACACAGGCUGCCAAUCCCUACUCUGAACCCUCGCAGGCAAACAGGUAUGGGCGUAAGUAACCUGUGGACCCGUGUGGGAAGCAUGUUGUCCCCGCUGGUGAAAAUCACGGGUGAGGUACAGCCCUUCAUCCCCAAUAUCAUCUACGGGAUCACCGCCCUCCUCGGGGGCAGUGCUGCCCUCUUCCUGCCUGAGACCCUGAAUCAGCCCUUGCCAGAGACUAUCGAAGACCUGGAAAACUGGUCCCUGCGGGCAAAGAAGCCAAAGCAGGAGCCAGAGGUGGAAAAGGCCUCCCAGAGGAUCCCUCUGCAGCCUUACGGACCAGACCUGGGCUCCAGCUGAGGACAACGGAACCCCCUUUCCCUGCCCUCCAGAGACUGAUCCUAGCCAGGCACCUUAGGGGUACAGGGAGGCCCCAGAUAGGUCCACCCUCCUAGGAUGAAGCCUUCUGAGAGCUUGGUGAAGGUGUCUCCAUCACCACCACCAGAGCCUCCUGCCCAGCCCUGGCCAGUUCGAAGGUUCAGCCAUAGACCUUUCCAUACCCAUCCCUGCCCUCGUUCUCCCUGCAACCCAGGCCCUGCCAUUCUUCUGUCCAGCCCUUCCCCACUGGCCACCUUCCUCCACUGUCCUGGUUCUCUUCCCCUGAGGUCCCCUGAUGUCCCCUGGCUCAGUCCUAACAAGACUGAGUCUUAACAAGAUAAGAAGUCCUCCCCUUCUUGACUCCCACACUUUUCUUUGAUGGGAGGUUUCAAUAAACAGCAAUAAGAACUCAA